AGUUCGAUCAUGGCUCAGAUUGAACGCUGGCGGGAUGUUUGCAGGGGCGAUGCAAGUCGAACGGCGCUGGACUUCGGUCUGGUGGCGAGUGACGAACGGGUGAGUAAUGUAUCGGAACGUGCCUAGUAGCGGGGAUAAUUGCUGUUGGUAAAGUAGCUGACACGUACAGCGAUUCUUCGGGGAAAGCGGGGACCUUCUGGCCUCUCGCACUAUUAGGGAAGUGCCUGAUAUCGAUUGAACGGUUGUAGGUAACGGUCACCAGCGACGAUCCGUAGCUGGUUUGAGAGACAUCGCCACACUCGGGACUGGUAUUGUCCACUGCAUGGAGGCAGCAGUGGGGAAUUUUGGACAAUGCUGGGAAACUGAUUCAGCCAUCCCGCGUGUGCGAUGAAGGCCUUCGGGUUGUAAAGCACUUUUGGUGGAUAAACAAGAGCGGAUAAUACCCUGUGCAACUGACGGUACCUGCAGAAUAAGUUAACCGGCUAACUACGUGCCAGCAGCCGCGGUGUAAUACGUAGGUGCAAGCGUUAAUCGGAAUUACUGGGCGUAAGCGUGCGCAGGCGGUUCGAAAGAAAGAUGAAAUCCCAGAGCUUAACUUUGGAACUGCAUUUUUAACUACCGAGCUAGAGUGUGUCAGAGGGAGGUGGAAUUCCGCGUGUAGCAGUGAAAUGCGUAGAUAUGCGGAGGAACACCGAUGGCGAAGGCAGCCUCCGGGGAUAAAACACUGACGUCGAUGCACGAAAGCGUGGGGAGCAACAGGAUUAGAUACCCCAGGUAGUCCACGCCCUAAACGAUGUCAACUAGCUGUUGGGGCCUUUCGGGCCUUGGUAGCGCAGAAGCACGCGUAAAGCUUAUCGCUCGUAGCAUGGUCGCAAGAUUAAAACUCAAAGGAAUUGACGGGGACCCGCACAAGCGGUGGAUGAUGUGGAUUAAUUCGAUGCAACGCGAAAAACCUUACCUACCCUUGACAUGUCUGGAAUCCCGAAGAGAUUUGGGAGUGCUCGCAAGAGAACCGGAACACAGGUGCUGCAUGGCUGUCGUCAGCUCGAAGCCGGGAGAUGUUGCUGAGUCCCGCAACGAGCGCAACCUUGUCAUUAGUUGCUAGAAAGGGCACUCUAUCGAGACUGUUGGUGACAAACCGGAGGGCGUGGGGAUGAUGCCAAGUCCGUACCCGCGGGUAGGGUCACGACGUCAUACAAUGGUCGGGACAGAGGGUCGCCAACCCAGGCGAGGGGGAGCCAAUCCCAGAAACCCGAUCGUAGUCCGGAUCGCAGUCUACAACCUCGACUGCGUGAAGUCGGAAUCGCUAGUAAUCGCGGAUCAGGUAUGUCGUGGUGUAUACGUUCUGGUCUGUACACCGCCCGUCACACCAUGGAGUGGGUUUAACAUAAAAGGGUUACCAAUCGCAGGGCGAUUAAUACGUAGGAUUCAUGACUGGGGGUGAAGGUCGUAACAAGGUAG
This 1461-nucleotide ribosomal RNA is filed under the name uncultured Bordetella sp. RNAcentral's name for it is "partial 16S-23S ribosomal RNA intergenic spacer". It matches the Rfam family "Bacterial small subunit ribosomal RNA". The record is from RNAcentral. Lineage: Bacteria; Pseudomonadati; Pseudomonadota; Betaproteobacteria; Burkholderiales; Alcaligenaceae.